CUGCAGGGUACUACUGCAAUUACUACUGAUGGGUAAUGAAACCAACUUGCAGAAGAGCUGUGAAAAUGUGACCCCUUGCUUCCUUUGAGCCCUAGCUACAUCUGAAAGUAACAUGAGUUCUGCAUUUUCAUGGAGAGCAGUGAGUGUCUGAGUAGUGCUGUGUUUCAGGACCCCUUCCAAGCUCCAUAAUAUGGGGCUGACUAGAGAGUACUGGAGCUUGGGGACAGACAGUGAGAAGGGCAGACUACAAGAGUGUGGAUCCUCAAGUCCAAAAGCCACUUAAACAAGGAGAACAGUGAGAAGAGCUGUCAGCUGAGGGAAGUUCACAAUGCAUCCCAGCUGCCCCAGGGAACCUGGCCUAAUUAAGCUGCACUAAUGAUACAGCCAGGUGUAAGCACUAGGACAGGAGCCUCCCCCUCUCAGCUCCUGAAGGAGGUGGCAGAUGAGGGAGGAACUGCAAGGAGCCAAUGCCAGCCAGAGGGGAUGGGUUGUCCAAGGACCAGGGAGGUCA
Long non-coding RNA from Catharus ustulatus (Swainson's thrush), 511 nucleotides. RefSeq lists it as uncharacterized. The transcript has 4 exons. The record is from RefSeq and is a predicted model, not a curated record. Lineage: Eukaryota; Metazoa; Chordata; Aves; Passeriformes; Turdidae.